CCUGAAACCGUGUGCUUACAAGUAGUCAGAGCCCGUUAAUGGGUGAUGGCGUGCCUUUUGUAGAAUGAACCGGCGAGUUACGAUUUGAUGCAAGGUUAAGCAGUAAAUGUGGAGCCGUAGCGAAAGCAAGUCUGAAUAGGGCGUUUAGUAUUUGGUCGUAGACCCGAAACCAGGUGAUCUACCCUUGGUCAGGUUGAAGUUCAGGUAACACUGAAUGGAGGACCGAACCGACUUACGUUGAAAAGUGAGCGGAUG
RNAcentral lists this ribosomal RNA (255 nucleotides) under Staphylococcus aureus. RNAcentral's name for it is "partial 23S ribosomal RNA". It matches the Rfam family "Bacterial large subunit ribosomal RNA", at positions 549 to 806 of the family's 2925-position model. The record is from RNAcentral. Lineage: Bacteria; Bacillati; Bacillota; Bacilli; Caryophanales; Staphylococcaceae.